RNAcentral lists this ribosomal RNA (439 nucleotides) under uncultured bacterium. RNAcentral describes it as "partial 16S ribosomal RNA". It matches the Rfam family "Bacterial small subunit ribosomal RNA", at positions 339 to 795 of the family's 1533-position model. The record is from RNAcentral.
CUACGGGAGGCAGCAGUGGGGAAUAUUGCACAAUGGAGGAAACUCUGAUGCAGCAACGCCGCGUGGAGGAUGACACUUUUCGGAGCGUAAACUCCUUUUAUAUAGGAAGAAGAUGACGGUACUAUAUGAAUAAGCGCCGGCUAACUCCGUGCCAGCAGCCGCGGUAAUACGGAGGGCGCAAGCGUUACUCGGAAUCACUGGGCGUAAAGAGCGUGUAGGCGGAUUAAAAAGUCAGAAGUGAAAUCCUAUAGCUUAACUAUAGAACUGCUUCUGAAACUCUUAAUCUAGAAUAUGGGAGAGGUAGAUGGAAUUUCUGGUGUAGGGGUAAAAUCCGUAGAGAUCAGAAGGAAUACCGAUUGCGAAGGCGAUCUACUAGAACAUUAUUGACGCUGAGACGCGAAAGCGUGGGGAGCAAACAGGAUUAGAUACCCGGGUAGUC